This is a long non-coding RNA of Rhea pennata, 696 nucleotides long. RefSeq lists it as uncharacterized. The transcript is spliced from 2 exons. The record is from RefSeq and is a predicted model, not a curated record. Lineage: Eukaryota; Metazoa; Chordata; Aves; Rheiformes; Rheidae.
CACAAGACUACCACUCCCGGCGUGCCGGGCGGCUGCCGCGCAACUGUCGAACGACUUCCACCCUAUGGCCGUCCCGUCCCGCCCUGUCCCCCAAUGCCUUCAGGCGCUCCCGCGAGCGGACCCGCGUCCGUUCCGACACCGCCUCUGCCCGCUCCCCGCAAUCCUGCCCGCCGAGUCCCCUGACGUCCCUCCCCCCAUCGCAGUCGCCAUUCCGAGCCGGACCAGGACGCCCCCGGGAUCCGGCCGGCUGCGUGGGGGACGUGCGCGCGCUACCGCCGCGGCCUGGUCGACGCGCCGCCGCUUCCCGCAAGAGACAGAGCAGGCUCUGCCCGUGGCCACUCCAAAAUAAACCUCUGAAGGAGUUGAACAGCUCUGCACAUAAUGGAACUGCCUCAGGGAGCCAGGGAAGAGCCCCAAGAACUGGCCUUUCUUGUGUUGUGAUGGCUGACUGCAGCAGGGAGAUGUGCACCCCGUUCAAUUAGGGUCUGAGGCCAAUGUUAGGUGUAAUCUGGUUCCUCCUGUUAAGAAAUCUGAACACAAAAUACUUAUUUAUGCCAUGACCCUCACAGGGUUAGACAACAAAUACAGUAUUGCUGAUGGAUUACAGUGAUGUGACUGGCAGUGUUUGAGGCCUGAAGACACCUGAAUUGUGAUUAAUAACUGAAAUCAAUAAAAAACUAGGUUUAGAUAACCAAA